AUCAUCCCGAGACCUUGUUAAAAUGCAUAUUCUGAUUCAGUGGAUCCGGGGUGGGGCCUGAGAGUCUGCAUUUCUAGCAAGCUCCCAGGUGAUGCUGA
This 98-nucleotide microRNA precursor is filed under the name Equus asinus (donkey). Its description in RNAcentral is "mir-544 microRNA precursor family". It matches the Rfam family "mir-544 microRNA precursor family". RNAcentral also lists the same sequence under 1 other name. The record is from Rfam by way of RNAcentral. Lineage: Eukaryota; Metazoa; Chordata; Mammalia; Perissodactyla; Equidae.